Molecule: ribosomal RNA, 595 nt
Filed under: uncultured Bacteroidota bacterium
Lineage: Bacteria; Pseudomonadati; Bacteroidota
Description: bacterial SSU rRNA
Rfam family: Bacterial small subunit ribosomal RNA
Source: RNAcentral
CAACCUGCCCACCACUUGGGGAUAACCUUGCGAAAGUAAGACUAAUACCCAAUGAUAUCUCUAGAAGACAUCUGAAAGAGAUUAAAGAUUUAUCGGUGAUGGAUGGGGAUGCGUCUGAUUAGCUUGUUGGCGGGGUAACGGCCCACCAAGGCGACGAUCAGUAGGGGUUCUGAGAGGAAGGUCCCCCACAUUGGAACUGAGACACGGUCCAGACUCCUACGGGAGGCAGCAGUGAGGAAUAUUGGUCAAUGGGCGAGAGCCUGAACCAGCCAAGUAGCGUGCAGGAUGACGGCCCUAUGGGUUGUAAACUUCUUUUAUAAGGGAAUAAAGUGAGUCUCGUGAGACUUUUUGCAUGUACCUUAUGAAUAAGGACCGGCUAAUUCCGUGCCAGCAGCCGCGGUAAUACGGAAGGUUCGGGCGUUAUCCGGAUUUAUUGGGUUUAAAGGGAGCGUAGGCCGGAGAUUAAGCGUGUUGUGAAAUGUAGACGCUCAACGUCUGCACUGCAGCGCGAACUGGUUUCCUUGAGUACGCACAAAGUGGGCGGAAUUCGUGGUGUAGCGGUGAAAUGCUUAGAUAUCACGAAGAACUCCGAUUG